GAUGAACGCUGGCGGCGUGCCUAAUACAUGCAAGUCGAGCGAACGGACGAGAACCUUGCUUCUCUGAUGUUAGCGGCGGACGGGUGAGUAACACGUGGAUAACCUACCUAUAAGACUGGGAUAACUUCGGGAAACCGGAGCUAAUACCGGAUAAUAUUUUGAACCGCAUGGUUCAAAAGUGAAAGACGGCCUUGCUGUCACUUAUAGAUGGAUCCGCGCUGCAUUAGCUAGUUGGUAAGGUAACGGCUUACCAAGGCAACGAUGCAUAGCCGACCUGAGAGGGUGAUCGGCCACACUGGAACUGAGACACGGUCCAGACUCCUACGGGAGGCAGCAGUAGGGAAUCUUCCGCAAUGGGCGAAAGCCUGACGGAGCAACGCCGCGUGAGUGAUGAAGGUCUUCGGAUCGUAAAACUCUGUUAUUAGGGAAGAACAUAUGUGUAAGUAACUGUGCACAUCUUGACGGUACCUAAUCAGAAAGCCACGGCUAACUACGUGCCAGCAGCCGCGGUAAUACGUAGGUGGCAAGCGUUAUCCGGAAUUAUUGGGCGUAAAGCGCGCGUAGGCGGUUUUUUAAGUCUGAUGUGAAAGCCCACGGCUCAACCGUGGAGGGUCAUUGGAAACUGGAAAACUUGAGUGCAGAAGAGGAAAGUGGAAUUCCAUGUGUAGCGGUGAAAUGCGCAGAGAUAUGGAGGAACACCAGUGGCGAAGGCGACUUUCUGGUCUGUAACUGACGCUGAUGUGCGAAAGCGUGGGGAUCAAACAGGAUUAGAUACCCUGGUAGUCCACGCCGUAAACGAUGAGUGCUAAGUGUUAGGGGGUUUCCGCCCCUUAGUGCUGCAGCUAACGCAUUAAGCACUCCGCCUGGGGAGUACGACCGCAAGGUUGAAACUCAAAGGAAUUGACGGGGACCCGCACAAGCGGUGGAGCAUGUGGUUUAAUUCGAAGCAACGCGAAGAACCUUACCAAAUCUUGACAUCCUUUGACAACUCUAGAGAUAGAGCCUUCCCCUUCGGGGGACAAAGUGACAGGUGGUGCAUGGUUGUCGUCAGCUCGUGUCGUGAGAUGUUGGGUUAAGUCCCGCAACGAGCGCAACCCUUAAGCUUAGUUGCCAUCAUUAAGUUGGGCACUCUAAGUUGACUGCCGGUGACAAACCGGAGGAAGGUGGGGAUGACGUCAAAUCAUCAUGCCCCUUAUGAUUUGGGCUACACACGUGCUACAAUGGACAAUACAAAGGGCAGCGAAACCGCGAGGUCAAGCAAAUCCCAUAAAGUUGUUCUCAGUUCGGAUUGUAGUCUGCAACUCGACUACAUGAAGCUGGAAUCGCUAGUAAUCGUAGAUCAGCAUGCUACGGUGAAUACGUUCCCGGGUCU
Molecule: ribosomal RNA, 1372 nt
Filed under: uncultured bacterium
Lineage: Bacteria
Description: bacterial SSU rRNA
Rfam family: Bacterial small subunit ribosomal RNA
Source: RNAcentral